GCAGUACUUUCUGUUGUCUCCUAGGAACGAAUCCAGAUACCCCACCCAUACAUGAUCUGAAAAUGCUAUGGGUGGCCUCUGCCAUAUGAAAUAGGAAGUGUUCCCAAACACAUCUAACUGUGUAAAUGUAACUGUAAAUGUCAUAGACCAACUUGUGGGCAAUUCAACUAUGUGAUUGGACUUUGAUUGGUGGACUAAUUUGAUUACCAUAUUAGGUUUGUAAGUUUAAGCUGAUUAUAAGCGAUAAUGUAUAAUUUCUGAUGAUAAAAAAAAGGAUUUUGUUCUCUUUUAUCUAUUACAAAAAACUUGAGAAUUACCUCAUCCGCUACUAUGUUAAAACAAAAAAAGAAACGUUAACUGUCACUGUGGAAUUUGAUAUAUAAACAUUUUAAUUGAUAGCAAAAAAAUAUAUACAUUUAAAAUGGGAACAAUUUGUCACGUAUAAUGUAAAAAUGGCAAGAUAAAAUAAAUUGAUGACACAUUGUUUCACUUUGAUGCAAAUUAUUAGUUACUGGUAACCAUAUCAGUUAGAAUCCCAGUGCCCCAGUGCUUGGCAUUAGACCAGGGAACUAAAUAUAUUACAUUCCAUCUGCCAGUCUAGUGAGUGGGCCACUAAUAUUUGCUGUUAAACCUCAUAUUACAUUCAACAUUUCUUUGGUUUCACCUUGAUUUCUACAUUCCUGUGCUAGUUACACACCACAGAACUGGUUCGGCACUUUCAAGGUACAAAGAUAAAGAACGUGAAUUAAAACGUAUCACUGGUCAGCACGGGCUGCAGACGAGAAAUAUGAGACGCAUUGAUAUUGACACGAAUGUGGCCUCUUUAAGUUUUGCCAUGUAUAACAGUACAACUUCUUGCUCGAUUUUAGUGUUCGAUGGAGUACCUUCUGGCUGUUGGUCAACUUCCCCCUAAACUGUUAAUGGUAUAUUUACAAUUGGCCUUUAGGUUUCUUUGAUUUAAGUAUUGUACCAUCUAUUUUCAAACAAUAGAGAGAGAAGGGCUGUGCCACAUAAAAUUGAAAAGGUAUUUCUAAAUAGUCUCGUCCCAACAAUACAAAUUGUCACAUAUAAAGAGGUUUCUUAUCAGGAGGUAGAUGCAGCUAUUUAGUUCUUUAUGCUUGGGGGAUGUGGUAGAGUAGAUCUGAGUAUCUUUAGUCUCCGUAUGUGGAUAGAGAAAGAGAAGGCAAGCUAAUAGUGCAAUAUGUCAACGCUUAAUGUGACAGUAUUUGAAUAAUAACGAUGUUGCACUCACAUGUAAGAGAGCUAUUGC
Non-coding RNA from Pelobates cultripes (western spadefoot toad), 1270 nucleotides. NCBI's taxonomy places the organism in Eukaryota, Metazoa, Chordata, Amphibia, Anura, Pelobatidae. The record is from the annotation of a GenBank genome assembly.